UUUAGCCUACGGGACGCAGCAGUGGGGAAUAUUGCACAAUGGGGGAAACCCUGAUGCAGCGACGCCGCGUGAGUGAAGAAGUAUUUCGGUAUGUAAAGCUCUAUCAGCAGGGAAGAAAAAAGACGGUACCUAACUAAGAAGCCCCGGCUAACUACGUGCCAGCAGCCGCGGUAAUACGUAGGGGGCAAGCGUUAUCCGGAUUUACUGGGUGUGAAGGGAGCGUAGACGGUGCAGCAAGUCUGAUGUGAAAGGUCGGGGCCCAACCCCGGGACUGCAUUGGAAACUGUUGAACUGGAGUACAGGAG
Molecule: ribosomal RNA, 305 nt
Filed under: uncultured bacterium
Lineage: Bacteria
Description: bacterial SSU rRNA
Rfam family: Bacterial small subunit ribosomal RNA
Source: RNAcentral